RNAcentral lists this long non-coding RNA (438 nucleotides) under Phoenix dactylifera (date palm). RNAcentral describes it as "long non-coding RNA (PDAC_LNC002692)". Lineage: Eukaryota; Viridiplantae; Streptophyta; Magnoliopsida; Arecales; Arecaceae. The record is from RNAcentral.
GGUGGAGUGGGGACUAACAGCCGCAUGCACACCUGCUUUAAUCCAAAAUUCAAAAGUAAACAAAGUUGGGGUAUUACUUUUUGUUAAGAUAUGAUUACAGCCAUCACUAAAGCAUUUGCUAUCUUGAUAUUUCUUCCAAUGUUACACCUAAGUACGUGAACCAUAAAAAGCCUAUGGGUCCAUUUGUCAUUGGAUGAUAAUAUUAGAAUCACAUUAAAGGUAGUGAAAAUAUGUAGCACUUUAUCUAGAACAAAGUGGUAGAGAAAGAUGAGGAAUUAAAUGGCACGAGCCAUGGUUAACAAACCAAAAGGAAAAUUUAGAUAAUAGUGUGUGCCUGGUGGUCACACCCCUUCUCUUUAGGAGGAGGUUUCAAGUUGAAUUCUUGGGUAAUGCAUGCCAACUAUUUGGUCAUAUAGCCUGAAUAAUUUAUUUUAGAUG